UACGUAGGCAGCAAGCGUUGUUCGGAAUUACUGGGCGUAAAGUGUGCGCAGGCGGCCGAGCAAGUCGAGUGUGAAAGCCCCGAGCUUAACUUGGGAACUGCGCUCGAAACUACUUGGCUAGAGUGUGGCAGAGGGAGGUGGAAUUCCACGUGUAGCGGUGAAAUGCGUAGAGAUGUGGAGGAACACCGAUGGCGAAGGCAGCCUCCUGGGCCAACACUGACGCUCAUGCACGAAAGCGUGGGGAGCAAACAGG
This 253-nucleotide ribosomal RNA is filed under the name uncultured bacterium. Its description in RNAcentral is "partial 16S ribosomal RNA". It matches the Rfam family "Bacterial small subunit ribosomal RNA", at positions 524 to 776 of the family's 1533-position model. The record is from RNAcentral.